UUUAUCUGUUUUAUAUAAACUUAGAAUUAAGUUAUAUCUUCAUUUUUUGAAAGAUGUAUUAUAUUAUAGUUUAAUAAAUUUAUUAUAAUUAACUAUUUAAUUAGUAUUUAAUUAUAUAAAUAGAAUUAAAUGUAACUUUGAGACCAUAACAAAAUAACAAGGAAAAACAUACUUCAUAAAACUAUUUAAUUAUAUAAAUAGAAUUAGUUUGAUUUAAUAGUUCUAUUAACAUAAUUAGUAUUAUGUUAAUAGAAUUAGUUUGAAAUUAUUAGUAAAUAUAAAGGUGCAAAUAUUAGUAUCACCACUGAUUGAAAAUCUUGUAUGCACAGUAAAAAUGGAUAAUUUUGCAAAAAAAAAUUGACAUUUUUUUUUGGUUUAGGUCUGUAAAAACCUGCUUUAAACCUUUAUUAUAGUUAACCCUAUAUUGCAUCUUGUUGCAUUUUUGCAACAAUACUUAAAAUGAUGACUUUUUAUGUUUUCUUUGGGAUUUUUCUAUAAUUUUUUGUUUCGCUAUAUUCCCGUAGUGGUUUUUUUACAAAACCAACACAGGAAAUCAUUUGUGUUGAACUUUAUUUGAUCUCAUUUCACAUUUUAACAAGCAUUGCGCUGUCAAACCUGCAAGUAUACUUUGAAUGAAUUAUUAUAUUAAGUAUUAAGUUUAAAAAAUUUAAACACAUUUAAAAAAUAUUUUCUAGAAGUUGAAUCAUAUAUCAAGACUAUUCAAUUAUGUAACAUUUCCUAAUAUUUCUCUCGGCUCUGUUUUUGUAUGUUGCAAAAUUGCAACAACAUGCCAUCACGAUUAAAAUCUUGAUGUUUUUUUUCUAGAUUAGAUCUACUCGCAUUAGAGUAAUAGUAAUAAGCCUACCUCUUUUUUAUGCAAAUACCUCUUUUCUAUGCAAAUACCGCUUUUCUAUGUAUUUGCUUGUUACUUUUAAAACAUGAUAGAGUUUUAAUUAAAGUAUUUAAUACAUGAUAGAGUUUUAAUUAAAGUAAGCUAUGCUGAUACCCGGUAGGAAAAAAAUAGUUAGAUUAUACAAAGCGUGUUUAAAAUGUCUAAAACAUGUAUUACUACGUAUUUUAUAUGUCUUAAAUGCACCUUUAAACGUGUUUAUUAUUUAUACUUUUUUUAUAUAAAUGUAAAAUGUAUGAUAAUAAUAAAUAUAGUUUAUGGUAAAAGUAUGAUAGUAAUAUUUAUAGUUUAUGUGAAAAAUCAGUCUAAGGUACUUUAUUCGUUUCUUAUGUUGGAUUAAAUUAUGGACCCAAAGACCUUCAAUGGAAAAAAAAGAGCUAAUGCUGUGAGGCAAAUACCUUCUUACUCUCACGACUCAGAGCUGUCAGACAAAGAUGCUCCAUUUGAUGAAGAUACCGGCAUCCAAGAUAAGGAAUCCAUACUCAAAGAGAACUACCAAAAUCUGACGUUGAAGAAGAGACUAACGAUGACUUAAAGGAACAGGAAUAGCUACACAGUUCAAGUUGAGGACUCCUUUGAAAGGUGUUAUAUACCAAAGAUUGACAACCAAAGUGCCCCAAUUCACUUGUCAAGUAAGACAUGGAUGCUUGCUAAGACAACCAUAUGAUUAUUUCAGAGACAUUGUUACAGAUAAUGUUUCUAUUUCAGAGACAUUUUUACAGAUGUUUUGGAAGAAAUGGUACACGAAUCCAAUGUAUACAAUGCACAAAAAAUUAUAAAUAACUUGCUAUGUUUGACAAAGGUAGAACUAUAAAAUUUUUUAGGAAUUGUUUUUUAUAUGCGCACUAUAAAAAUUCCUCGGUGCAGAAUGUAUUGAUGCCCUUCAACCAAAAUUAAACCUGUAACAGAGACUGUGAUCAUCAAUAGGUUUGAGUGUAUCAAAAAUGAUUUACAUUUUGACAACAAUGAAAAUGCCACCAAUUAAUUAGAUAAAGUUAGGAUUGUUUUUGAUUCACUUGAAAACAGUUUCCAAAACAUUGUGUCAUUUGAACUGCUGAGUGUUGGUGAGCAGAAAGUACCAUUUUAAGGUAGAAGUAGCCUAAAGCACAUACAAUCCCAAAAACCAAAGAAGUGGGGUUACAAAAUAAUUGUGUUUUGUGAUAACAAAAGCUUCAUCCAUAAUUUAGAAAUAUAUAAUGGUAAAGUUCACCCCUGUCCAGGAAAACCAGAUAUAGGAGCUUCUGGAAACAUGGUUCUGAGACUAUUGCAAGACAUUCCUAGGGAUGUCUGGCACAAAGUUUACUUUGAUAACUGGUUCACCUCCAUUCCAUUGCAAGUAACUCUGCACAAACAAGGAAUAACAGUGCAAGCAAAUCAUUUGAAAGGAUGUUUAUUCCCAACAGACAAAGAGCUUACUAGAUCUGGAAGAGGUACAGCAAUUUUAAAAACAACCUCAUAUGAUGGUGUUCAGCUAAAUGCUGUAAAAUGGGUGGACAAUAAAUCCUGCUGAUCCUGCUCAGUAGCUAUGCAGGUGUCCUACCUACAAAAGAAGCUUCCAUAAUUCUUUUAUGGGUGGUGUUGACUUGUUAGAUUCAUUGGUGGCUCUGUACAGAAACCCUAUUCGAUCAAAGAAGUGG
Hydra vulgaris (swiftwater hydra) is the source of this 2547-nucleotide non-coding RNA. The record is from RefSeq and is a predicted model, not a curated record. Lineage: Eukaryota; Metazoa; Cnidaria; Hydrozoa; Anthoathecata; Hydridae.